AUUGAACGCUGGCGGCAGGCCUAACACAUGCAAGUCGAACGGUAACAGGAAGCAGCUUGCUGCUUCGCUGACGAGUGGCGGACGGGUGAGUAAUGUCUGGGAAGCUGCCUGAUGGAGGGGGAUAACUACUGGAAACGGUAGCUAAUACCGCAUAAUGUCGCAAGACCAAAGAGGGGGACCUUCGGGCCUCUUGCCAUCGGAUGUGCCCAGAUGGGAUUAGCUUGUUGGUGGGGUAACGGCUCACCAAGGCGACGAUCCCUAGCUGGUCUGAGAGGAUGACCAGCCACACUGGAACUGAGACACGGUCCAGACUCCUACGGGAGGCAGCAGUGGGGAAUAUUGCACAAUGGGCGCAAGCCUGAUGCAGCCAUGCCACGUGUAUGAAGAAGGCCUUCGGGUUGUAAAGUACUUUCAGCGGGGAGGAAGGGAGUAAAGUUAAUACCUUUGCUCAUUGACGUUACCCGCAGAAGAAGCACCGGCUAACUCCGUG
Molecule: ribosomal RNA, 490 nt
Filed under: uncultured bacterium
Lineage: Bacteria
Description: partial 16S ribosomal RNA
Rfam family: Bacterial small subunit ribosomal RNA
Source: RNAcentral